ACUGCAGUGGUCAAGGGGUUACGAUACGGUCCUCCCAAGACCGUGACCUGGGUUCGAGUCCCAGCUGCAGUA
Molecule: transfer RNA, 72 nt
Filed under: Talaromyces marneffei ATCC 18224
Lineage: Eukaryota; Fungi; Ascomycota; Eurotiomycetes; Eurotiales; Trichocomaceae
Description: tRNA-Gly (CCC) (tRNA-Gly-CCC-1-1)
Rfam family: tRNA
About the family: Transfer RNA (tRNA) molecules are approximately 80 nucleotides in length. Their secondary structure includes four short double-helical elements and three loops (D, anti-codon, and T loops).
Source: RNAcentral